RNAcentral lists this ribosomal RNA (1595 nucleotides) under Salmonella enterica. RNAcentral's name for it is "partial 23S ribosomal RNA". It matches the Rfam family "Bacterial large subunit ribosomal RNA", at positions 1225 to 2802 of the family's 2925-position model. Lineage: Bacteria; Pseudomonadati; Pseudomonadota; Gammaproteobacteria; Enterobacterales; Enterobacteriaceae. The record is from RNAcentral.
UGGGUAGGGGAGCGUUCUGUAAGCCUGUGAAGGUGGCCUGUGAGGGUUGCUGGAGGUAUCAGAAGUGCGAAUGCUGACAUAAGUAACGAUAAAGCGGGUGAAAAGCCCGCUCGCCGGAAGACCAAGGGUUCCUGUCCAACGUUAAUCGGGGCAGGGUGAGUCGACCCCUAAGGCGAGGCCGAAAGGCGUAGUCGAUGGGAAACGGGUUAAUAUUCCCGUACUUGGUGUUACUGCGAAGGGGGGACGGAGAAGGCUAUGUUGGCCGGGCGACGGUUGUCCCGGUUUAAGCGUGUAGGUGUGUGUUCCAGGUAAAUCCGGUUCACUUUAACACUGAGGCGUGAUGACGAGGCACUACGGUGCUGAAGCAACAAAUGCCCUGCUUCCAGGAAAAGCCUCUAAGCAUCAGGUAACAUCAAAUCGUACCCCAAACCGACACAGGUGGUCAGGUAGAGAAUACCAAGGCGCUUGAGAGAACUCGGGUGAAGGAACUAGGCAAAAUGGUGCCGUAACUUCGGGAGAAGGCACGCUGACACGUAGGUGAAGUGAUUUACUCAUGGAGCUGAAGUCAGUCGAAGAUACCAGCUGGCUGCAACUGUUUAUUAAAAACACAGCACUGUGCAAACACGAAAGUGGACGUAUACGGUGUGACGCCUGCCCGGUGCCGGAAGGUUAAUUGAUGGGGUCAGCGCAAGCGAAGCUCCUGAUCGAAGCCCCGGUAAACGGCGGCCGUAACUAUAACGGUCCUAAGGUAGCGAAAUUCCUUGUCGGGUAAGUUCCGACCUGCACGAAUGGCGUAAUGAUGGCCAGGCUGUCUCCACCCGAGACUCAGUGAAAUUGAACUCGCUGUGAAGAUGCAGUGUACCCGCGGCAAGACGGAAAGACCCCGUGAACCUUUACUAUAGCUUGACACUGAACAUUGAGCCUUGAUGUGUAGGAUAGGUGGGAGGCUUUGAAGUGUGGACGCCAGUCUGCAUGGAGCCGACCUUGAAAUACCACCCUUUAAUGUUUGAUGUUCUAACGUGGACCCGUAAUCCGGGUUGCGGACAGUGUCUGGUGGGUAGUUUGACUGGGGCGGUCUCCUCCUAAAGAGUAACGGAGGAGCACGAAGGUUGGCUAAUCCUGGUCGGACAUCAGGAGGUUAGUGCAAUGGCAUAAGCCAGCUUGACUGCGAGCGUGACGGCGCGAGCAGGUGCGAAAGCAGGUCAUAGUGAUCCGGUGGUUCUGAAUGGAAGGGCCAUCGCUCAACGGAUAAAAGGUACUCCGGGGAUAACAGGCUGAUACCGCCCAAGAGUUCAUAUCGACGGCGGUGUUUGGCACCUCGAUGUCGGCUCAUCACAUCCUGGGGCUGAAGUAGGUCCCAAGGGUAUGGCUGUUCGCCAUUUAAAGUGGUACGCGAGCUGGGUUUAGAACGUCGUGAGACAGUUCGGUCCCUAUCUGCCGUGGGCGCUGGAGAACUGAGGGGGGCUGCUCCUAGUACGAGAGGACCGGAGUGGACGCAUCACUGGUGUUCGGGUUGUCAUGCCAAUGGCACUGCCCGGUAGCUAAAUGCGGAAGAGAUAAGUGCUGAAAGCAUCUAAGCACGAAACUUGCCCCGA